This 77-nucleotide transfer RNA is filed under the name Vibrio parahaemolyticus. RNAcentral describes it as "tRNA-Val". It matches the Rfam family "tRNA". Rfam says of the family: Transfer RNA (tRNA) molecules are approximately 80 nucleotides in length. Their secondary structure includes four short double-helical elements and three loops (D, anti-codon, and T loops). The record is from RNAcentral. Lineage: Bacteria; Pseudomonadati; Pseudomonadota; Gammaproteobacteria; Vibrionales; Vibrionaceae.
GGGUCUUUAGCUCAGUUGGUUAGAGCGUCUGGUCGACAUCCAGAAGGUCAUUGGUUCGAACCCGAUAAGACCCACCA